AUUGAACGCUGGCGGCAUGCCUAACACAUGCAAGUCGAACGGAAACGAUGGAAGCUUGCUUCCAGGCGUCGAGUGGCGGACGGGUGAGUAAUACUUAGGAAUCUGCCCAUUAGUGGGGGACAACUCGGGGAAACCCGAGCUAAUACCGCAUACGCCCUACGGGGGAAAGCGGGGGAUCUUCGGACCUCGCGCUAAUGGAUGAGCCUAAGUCGGAUUAGCUUGUUGGUGAGGUAAAAGCUCACCAAGGCGACGAUCCGUAGCUGGUCUGAGAGGACGAUCAGCCACACUGGGACUGAGACACGGCCCAGACUCCUACGGGAGGCAGCAGUGGGGAAUAUUGGACAAUGGGGGAAACCCUGAUCCAGCAAUGCCGCGUGUGAAGAAGGCCUGCGGGUUGUAAAGCACUUUCAGUAGAGAAGAAAAGCCUAUGGUUAAUAUCCGUGGGUCUUGACGUUACCUACAGAAGAAGCUCCGGCUAACUCCGUGCCAGCAGCCGCGGUAAUACGGAGGGAGCGAGCGUUAAUCGGAAUUACUGGGCGUAAAGCGCGCGUAGGCGGCUUUGUUAGUCGGAUGUGAAAGCCCUGGGCUCAACCUGGGAAUUGCAUUCGAAACUGCAGAGC
Molecule: ribosomal RNA, 620 nt
Filed under: uncultured bacterium
Lineage: Bacteria
Description: bacterial SSU rRNA
Rfam family: Bacterial small subunit ribosomal RNA
Source: RNAcentral